UGGGGAAUUUUGGACAAUGGGGGAAACCCUGAUCCAGCCAUCCCGCGUGUGCGAUGAGGGCCUUCGGGUUGUAAAGCACUUUUGGCAGGAAAGAAACGUCGCGGGUUAAUACCCCGCGAAACUGACGGUACCUGCAGAAUAAGCACCGGCUAACUACGUGCCAGCAGCCGCGGUAAUACGUAGGGUGCAAGCGUUAAUCGGAAUUACUGGGCGUAAAGCGUGCGCAGGCGGUUCGGAAAGAAAGAUGUGAAAUCCCAGAGCUUAACUUUGGAACUGCAUUUUUAACUACCGGGCUAGAGUGUGUCAGAGGGAGGUGGAAUUCCGCGUGUAGCAGUGAAAUGCGUAGAUAUGCGGAGGAACACCGAUGGCGAAGGCAGCCUCCUGGGAUAACACUGACGCUCAUGCACGAAAGCGUGGGGAGCAAACAGGAUUAGAUACCCUGGUAGUCCACGCCCUAAACGAUGUCAACUAGCUGUUGGGGCCUUCGGGCCUUGGUAGCGCAGCUAACGCGUGAAGUUGACCGCCUGGGGAGUACGGUCGCAAGAUUAAAACUUAAAUGAAUUGAC
This 566-nucleotide ribosomal RNA is filed under the name uncultured bacterium. RNAcentral describes it as "partial 16S ribosomal RNA". It matches the Rfam family "Bacterial small subunit ribosomal RNA", at positions 355 to 914 of the family's 1533-position model. The record is from RNAcentral.